GGGGGCGGUGGUCGGACGGGGCUGGGUCAUGGUGCCUCCCGGGCGCUGGGUGUCGUCCGGGUGCCCGCUCGGUUCCGUACGGGCACCCGCC
Molecule: transfer RNA, 91 nt
Filed under: Streptomyces daghestanicus
Lineage: Bacteria; Bacillati; Actinomycetota; Actinomycetes; Kitasatosporales; Streptomycetaceae
Description: tRNA-Gly
Source: RNAcentral